AUCCAGAUGAUGAGUCCCAAAUAGGACGAAAUUAGCAUUGUUCUGGAU
This 48-nucleotide non-coding RNA is filed under the name Trichobilharzia regenti. The record is from RNAcentral. Lineage: Eukaryota; Metazoa; Platyhelminthes; Trematoda; Strigeidida; Schistosomatidae.